This 253-nucleotide ribosomal RNA is filed under the name uncultured bacterium. RNAcentral describes it as "partial 16S ribosomal RNA". It matches the Rfam family "Bacterial small subunit ribosomal RNA", at positions 524 to 776 of the family's 1533-position model. The record is from RNAcentral.
UACGUAGGGUGCAAGCGUUGUCCGGAAUUAUUGGGCGUAAAGAGCUCGUAGGCGGUCUGUUGCGUCGGCUGUGAAAACCUGGGGCUUAACUCCGGGCCUGCAGCCGAUACGGGCAGACUAGAGUUCGGCAGGGGAGACUGGAAUUCCUGGUGUAGCGGUGAAAUGCGCAGAUAUCGGGAAGAACACCCGUGGCGAAGGCGGCUCUCUGGGACGGUACUGACGCUGAGACGCGAAAGCGAGGGGAGCGAACAGG